Molecule: ribosomal RNA, 405 nt
Filed under: uncultured bacterium
Lineage: Bacteria
Description: bacterial SSU rRNA
Rfam family: Bacterial small subunit ribosomal RNA
Source: RNAcentral
GAAUAUUGCACAAUGGGCGAAAGCCUGAUGCAGCGACGCCGCGUGAGGGAUGACGGCCUUCGGGUUGUAAACCUCUUUCAGCAGGGAAGAAGCGCAAGUGACGGUACCUGCAGAAGAAGCGCCGGCUAACUACGUGCCAGCAGCCGCGGUAAUACGUAGGGCGCAAGCGUUGUCCGGAAUUAUUUGGCGUAAAGAGCUCGUAGGCGGUUUGUCGCGUCUGGUGUGAAAACCUCAGGCUCAACCUGGGGCGUGCAUCGGGUACGGGCAGACUAGAGUGCGGUAGGGGAGACUGGAAUUCCUGGUGUAGCGGUGGAAUGCGCAGAUAUCAGGAGGAACACCGAUGGCGAAGGCAGGUCUCUGGGCCGCAACUGACGCUGAGGCACGAAAGCGUGGGGAGCGAACAGG